GGCGCGCAAAUUACCCAAUCCCGACUCGGGGAGGUAGUGACAAUAAAUACUGAUACAGGGCUCUUUUGGGUCUUGUAAUUGGAAUGAGUACAAUUUAAAUCCCUUAACGAGGAACAAUUGGAGGGCAAGUCUGGUGCCAGCAGCCGCGGUAAUUCCAGCUCCAAUAGCGUAUAUUAAAGUUGUUGUGGUUAAAAAGCUCGUAGUUGAACCUUGGGCCUGGCUGGCCGGUCCGCCUCACCGCGUGUACUGGUCCGGCCGGGCCUUUCCCUCUGUGGAACCCCAUGCCCUUCACUGGGUGUGGCGGGGAAACAGGACUUUUACUUUGAAAAAAUUAGAGUGCUCCAGGCAGGCCUAUGCUCGAAUACAUUAGCAUGGAAUAAUAAAAUAGGACGUGUGGUUCUAUUUUGUUGGUUUCUAGGACCGCCGUAAUGAUUAAUAGGGACAGUCGGGGGCAUCAGUAUUCAAUUGUCAGAGGUGAAAUUCUUGGAUUUAUUGAAGACUAACUACUGCGAAAGCAUUUGCCAAGGAUGUUUUCAUUAAUCAGGAACGAAAGUUAGGGGAUCGAAGACGAUCAGAUACCGUCGUAGUCUUAACCAUAAACUAUGCCGACUAGGGAUCGGACGAUGUUAUUAUUUGACUCGUUCGGCACCUUACGAGAAAUCAAAGUGCUUGGGCUCCAGGGGGAGUAUG
This 690-nucleotide ribosomal RNA is filed under the name uncultured eukaryote. RNAcentral describes it as "SSU rRNA". It matches the Rfam family "Eukaryotic small subunit ribosomal RNA", at positions 431 to 1127 of the family's 1831-position model. The record is from RNAcentral.